RNAcentral lists this ribosomal RNA (25 nucleotides) under Grifola frondosa (maitake). RNAcentral's name for it is "partial 18S ribosomal RNA". Lineage: Eukaryota; Fungi; Basidiomycota; Agaricomycetes; Polyporales; Grifolaceae. The record is from RNAcentral.
GCCAGUAGUCAUAUGCUUGUCUCAA